CACCUACCGAUUGAAUGGUUCGGUGAAAAUCUCGGACUGCGGCUUGGAUGCCUUCGGGCAACCAAGCUGUGGAAAGUUGUUUAAACCUCAUCAUUUAGAGGAAGGUGAAGUCGUAACAAGGUUUCUGUAGGUGAACCUGCAGAAGGAUCACUCUCGGUAUUUCGUCUUUUUGGGUAAGAGUGUAGUUCUCGUUUGUCUCCGUAUCUUUUAACAUAUCAUCCUUUCUUACUUCUUCUUUCUCUUCUCUUUUUCUUCUUUCUCUUUCUCUUUUUUUUUU
RNAcentral lists this unclassified non-coding RNA (277 nucleotides) under sea anemone metagenome. RNAcentral describes it as "partial contains small subunit ribosomal RNA and internal transcribed spacer 1". The stretch from base 1 to 153 matches the Rfam family "Eukaryotic small subunit ribosomal RNA", at positions 1679 to 1831 of the family's 1831-position model. The record is from RNAcentral.